GACGAACGCUGGCGGCGUGCUUAACACAUGCAAGUCGAACGGAAAGGCCCUGCUUUUGUGGAGUGCUCGAGUGGCGAACGGGUGAGUAACACGUGAGUAACCUGCCCUUGACUUUGGGAUAACUUCAGGAAACUGGGGCUAAUACCGGAUAGGAGCUCCUGCUGCAUGGUGGGGGUUGGAAAGUUUCGGCGGUUGGGGAUGGACUCGCGGCUUAUCAGCUUGUUGGUGGGGUAGUGGCUUACCAAGGCUUUGACGGGUAGCCGGCCUGAGAGGGUGACCGGCCACAUUGGGACUGAGAUACGGCCCAGACUCCUACGGGAGGCAGCAGUGGGGAAUACUGCACAAUGGGCGGAAGCCUGAUGCAGCAACGCCGCGUGCGGGAUGACGGCCUUCGGGUUGUAAACCGCUUUCGCCUGUGACGAAGCGUGAGUGACGGUAAUGGGUAAAGAAGCACCGGCUAACUACGUG
RNAcentral lists this ribosomal RNA (468 nucleotides) under uncultured bacterium. RNAcentral describes it as "partial 16S ribosomal RNA". It matches the Rfam family "Bacterial small subunit ribosomal RNA", at positions 28 to 507 of the family's 1533-position model. The record is from RNAcentral.